CAAGUCGAACGCGAAAGCCUCCUUCGGGGGGCAAGUAGAGUGGCGCACGGGUGAGUAACACGUAGGUAAUCUACCUUUGGAUUGGGAAUAACAACCGGAAACGGUUGCUAAUACCGAAUAAUGCAGCGGCACCUAAUGGUGACAGUUGUUAAAGCGGGGGAUCGAAAGACCUCGCGUCUGAAGAGGAGCCUGCGGCAGAUUAGCUAGUUGGUAAGGUAACGGCUUACCAAGGCGAUGAUCUGUAGCCGGCCUGAGAGGGCGGUCGGCCACACUGACACUGACAUACGGGUCAGACUCCUACGGGAGGCAGCAGUCGGGAAUUUUGGGCAAUGGGCGAAAGCCUGACCCAGCAACGCCGCGUGAAGGAUGAAAUCCUUCGGGAUGUAAACUUCGCAAGAACGGGAAGAAUAAGUAAGAGUUAAUAUCUCUUACGAUGACGGUACUGUUUGUAAGCUCCGGCUAACUCCGUGCCAGCAGCCGCGGUAAUACGGGGGGAGCAAGCGUUGUUCGGAUUUACUGGGCGUAAAGGGCGCGUAGGCGGCCACCGCAAGUCGACUGUGAAAUCUCCGGGCUUAACCCGGAAAGGUCAGCCGAUACUGCGGGGCUAGAGUGCAGAAGGGGCAACUGGAAUUCUCGGUGUAGCGGUGAAAUGCGUAGAUAUCGAGAGGAACACCUGCGGCGAAGGCGGGUUGCUGGGCUGACACUGACGCUGAGGCGCGAAAGCUAGGGGAGCGAACGGGAUUAGAUACCCCGGUAGUCCUAGCCUUAAACGAUGAAUGCUUGGUGUCUGGGGUUUUAUAGUCCCCGGGU
RNAcentral lists this ribosomal RNA (810 nucleotides) under uncultured Actinomycetes bacterium. RNAcentral's name for it is "bacterial SSU rRNA". It matches the Rfam family "Bacterial small subunit ribosomal RNA", at positions 58 to 844 of the family's 1533-position model. The record is from RNAcentral. Lineage: Bacteria; Bacillati; Actinomycetota; Actinomycetes.